RNAcentral lists this transfer RNA (77 nucleotides) under Armatimonadota bacterium. Its description in RNAcentral is "Armatimonadetes bacterium (anaerobic digester metagenome) tRNA-Val". It matches the Rfam family "tRNA". Rfam says of the family: Transfer RNA (tRNA) molecules are approximately 80 nucleotides in length. Lineage: Bacteria; Bacillati; Armatimonadota. The record is from RNAcentral.
GGGCGGUUAGCCCAGCUGGUUAGAGCGCUUGCAUGACACGCAAGAGGUCGGGGGUUCGAGUCCCUCACCGCCCACCA